This 449-nucleotide ribosomal RNA is filed under the name uncultured bacterium. RNAcentral describes it as "partial 16S ribosomal RNA". It matches the Rfam family "Bacterial small subunit ribosomal RNA", at positions 29 to 523 of the family's 1533-position model. The record is from RNAcentral.
AACGAACGCUGGCGGCAUGCCUAACACAUGCAAGUCGAACGAGAUCUUCGGGUCUAGUGGCGCACGGGUGCGUAACGCGUGGGAAUCUGCCCUUUGGUUCGGAAUAACAGUUGGAAACGACUGCUAAUACCGGAUGAUGACGAAAGUCCAAAGAUUUAUCGCCAGAGGAUGAGCCCGCGUAGGAUUAGCUAGUUGGUGUGGUAAAGGCGCACCAAGGCGACGAUCCUUAGCUGGUCUGAGAGGAUGAUCAGCCGCACUGGGACUGAGACACGGCCCAGACUCCUACGGGAGGCAGCAGUGGGGAAUAUUGGACAAUGGGCGAAAGCCUGAUCCAGCAAUGCCGCGUGAGUGAUGAAGGCCUUAGGGUUGUAAAGCUCUUUUACCCGGGAUGAUAAUGACAGUACCGGGAGAAUAAGCUCCAGCUAACUCCGUGCCAGCCGCCGCGGUAA